AUAAGAUGCUUUCCUCAGCAGAAAGGAGGGAAAAAAAACAACUGGAACUCAAAGCUUGAAAUUCUGUGGCAAAACGAGAUGUCCAGGAUUGGAGGUUGAAAAGAUUUCACUACAGUGUUCUGCAAUAGUUGGAGCAGAUAACUUUCAGUGUAGCCACAGCCAUGGACUCCAGAUUUCCAGAUUUUCAAGAACUGGACCUGGAACCCGAAAGAGCUUGUCAGGAUGCGGCAAGAACACUGGAGGUAGAUUUUUUUUUUAUUUUUGAAUUUUGGGACUGUUGACCUUGCUGUGAGAAAAGAGACAACGACUGAGCAAGCACUACCACCAGCAUUGUUACUGGGAAUUAGAAGACCUGAGUUUCUGUCCAGACCCUCAGUGCAAACUGAGGACGCUCCAUCCAAAGUGAAUCAUGAUAGCAGACUUCUUGAAAGCAGGGUCCUUGUUUAGUGCAUCUUUGCCCACAUAAACCACAACAUGUCAAGAUGCAUUUAUUAGGAAGGAGGAGUUUAGAGAGCAGGCUAUCAGAAUAACCACUCACCUACAGACCUGGUACCUGGAUUUUUGCCCGAGAUGAUUCCUACCACCUUACUACUGAAGAAGACACCCAUUCCAGUGGACCACUGUGACCCAGGAGGCAUUCAGCCAUCAUGAUGUGGCCUUUACCUCCACUCCUGUCCUGUUCUACCCAGAUUCAGCACAGCCCUUUAUAGUGAAGUCAGAGUCCUCAAGCCAAAUAGCUAAAGCUGUUUUAUCACAACAAAGGCCUAGUUUGUUCCAUGAGUGUGCAUUUCAUUUCUUCAGUUAAAGCCUUCAGAGACACACAAUAAAUUUGGACCAGGGGAUUUUUUAGUUAUUAAUGCUCUCUGAAGAAAGGCAACAUCUUUUUGAGAGCAGCAUUGGACCACACCCCACAAUCUCAAAUGGUUGAAAUUCGUGAACAUCUAGGAUCCCGUGAAGGUCACUGGACCCUGUUUUUUCUACUUCAAAUCCUGUAGUAGCCUACUGAAUGAGAAAACAUAUUCUGACCCAUUGGAAUCAAAUCAGAGGCACAGUGAACUCCUCAUAGCAUCUUCUUUGGAAUUACUCAGGAACCAGAACUUUUUACACAAAUGUAAGAAAUUCUACCAAGGAGUCCCCUUACCUAACAGCAUCUCACAAGGCUGCAUCAGAUUCCAGAAAAGGCUUCUCUUGAUACAUCAAGGUAGAACCUCUAUGCAUUUUGUGACCGACUUAUUCUUAGAUCAUUGGUUUUCCAAAGGCUUUGUGGCCAUGAAGCCCUUUGAGUGAAAACUGCAGAAGCCCAGAGUAAAAGUGAAGCUGCUCUGGAUGAAGUAGUGAAGCAAGAGUAGGGGCCUGAAGCCUGCUACGACUAUCUUCCUUUACCACCGUGGUGACACCUAAGGGGACUUCCUUACAACACCUUGAACUCUUCCAAACACAGUUUGAAAACCACUGCCCCAGACAGCAAUAUGUUUGACCUGAAUGGCAUUCCAAUCUUUUCUGUACCUCCACUCAGCACAGUUCGUGUUCAGUAGAUGCUGAACAUUCUUAGAAAUACUGUGCGCGAACUUAGAAAAGUGCAAGAAGACAGGCAUGUCUUUGACCCCAGGAAUGAUCAUGGGCUGAAGAUGGUGUCAAGUGAACCUAGAUUAACAGCCCUCCACUCCAGAUGGAUAUCCAGUGAUUCCUAGAAUGGGAUAUAGCCAGAGAACAAUUCUAUGCACCCUACACUGACAGACUCCCUUAAGCAACACCAGAUGCUCUACUGGUACUUGAAGUACAUGACUUUGAAGUCUUGACCCUCCAUGAAUACCUGAAUUACCAGCAAGUGGGUUUUGAAGCUGGUGCCUCAUCAAGGCCAUAUUAGAGCAACUUGUACAUUUGACCUCUUGUUAUCAGCCAUGGUACUCUACUUCGUGAGCAAGAGAUAACUAUGAAAGCCGAAUUCAAAUACUGGCAACAUUUCCUAAAGGGGCUCAAUAUCUAUCAUUCAUCUUCUUUUCCAAACUACACAUCACUGUAUGACUCAACCAGUAGCAGUUAUAUUGCCCCUUGGUUUUUAUUCAGUUUAACUACUGUUUCCAGGGUAAAUGAGCUAAUAACCAUUUUUUA
RNAcentral lists this antisense RNA (2112 nucleotides) under Pongo abelii (Sumatran orangutan). The stretch from base 1031 to 1211 matches the Rfam family "Taurine upregulated gene 1 conserved region 4". The record is from RNAcentral. Lineage: Eukaryota; Metazoa; Chordata; Mammalia; Primates; Hominidae.